Triticum aestivum (bread wheat) is the source of this 409-nucleotide long non-coding RNA. RefSeq lists it as uncharacterized. The transcript has 3 exons. The record is from RefSeq and is a predicted model, not a curated record. NCBI's taxonomy places the organism in Eukaryota, Viridiplantae, Streptophyta, Magnoliopsida, Poales, Poaceae.
GCCUGGGUGAAACGACAAAGAGUUAGUGAACGGCGGCUUCGAAGUUCGAUCCUCUCCAUGGCCCUCCUCCCCCAGUCCUCUCGUUCCCCAUUUUCCUCCUCCCAAAUCAGGCGAGAUCCAGAGGUGUAACCACCGGAGGAGGCAAAGGAACCGGCGCCGCAACCGAAGCCGAAGACGGGCGGCGAACAUUGGGAAGUGGAUCAUCUGCCACCAUAACCGAAGUCAGUCGGAGGAAGCCGAAGGCGUUGGCGCGUGCGGAGAUUCGUUGCUCGUCGCCAGCGCAGACCAAAAAUGGUUGUACAAGGAGAGGUCUACAAACCGUUCUUCUCGGUAGAAUUCAAAACAGCCCGCCGGUUGGCAGUCUUGUCAUGCUGAUAUCGAUGGGGAGGCAUAGGAUGAUGAGGCAAGU